This 253-nucleotide ribosomal RNA is filed under the name uncultured bacterium. Its description in RNAcentral is "partial 16S ribosomal RNA". It matches the Rfam family "Bacterial small subunit ribosomal RNA", at positions 524 to 776 of the family's 1533-position model. The record is from RNAcentral.
UACGUAGGGUGCAAGCGUUAAUCGGAAUUACUGGGCGUAAAGCGUGCGCAGGCGGUUGUGCAAGACAGAUGUGAAAUCCCCGGGCUUAACCUGGGAACUGCAUUUGUGACUGCAUGGCUAGAGUUUGGCAGAGGGGGGUAGAAUUCCACGUGUAGCAGUGAAAUGCGUAGAUAUCAGGAGGAACACCGAUGGCGAAGGCAGCUUACUACAUGUUAAUUGACGCUGAGGCACGAAAGCGUGGGGAGCAAACAGG